UGUUAUUACUUGGUAAGAUUCCGGACCUCGCCAAGUGUUUUGAAAACCCGCAACGCUCGCAAAGGUGCAUAGUGAGAAUAAUAAGUGAAGAGACAGACUUGUCCAAAACGCCCACCACGAAGGUGCAUAGUGAGAAGAGUAAGUCAAGAGACAGACUUGUUCAAAAAGAAACAAAAGAGAAUGCUUGGGGAGAUAGAAGUGUGAGAUAGUUCUCAAGCUAAGAAAGUUGUAAAAGCUAAGAACUAGC
Molecule: RNA transcript, 247 nt
Organism: Arabidopsis thaliana (thale cress)
Lineage: Eukaryota; Viridiplantae; Streptophyta; Magnoliopsida; Brassicales; Brassicaceae
Exons: 2
Source: RefSeq